UGAACGCUGGCGGCGUGCCUAAUACAUGCAAGUCGAGCGACCGGACGAGAAGCUUGCUUCUCUGAUGUUAGCGGCGGACGGGUGAGUAACACGUGGAUAACCUACCUAUAAGACUGGGAUAACUUCGGGAAACCGUAGCUAAUACCGGAUAAUAUUUUGAACCGCAUGGUUCAAAAGUGAAAGACGGUCUUGCUGUCGCUUAUAGAUGGAUCCGCGCUGCAUUAGCUAGUUGGUAAGGUAACGGCUUACCAAGGCAACGAUGCAUAGCCGACCUGAGAGGGUGAUCGGCCACACUGGAACUGAGACACGGUCCAGACUCCUACGGGAGGCAGCAGUAGGGAAUCUUCCGCAAUGGUCGAAAGCCUGACGGAGCAACGCCGCGUGAGUGAUGAAGGUCUUCGGAUCGUAAAACUCUGUUAUUAGGGAAGAACAUAUGUGUAAGUAACUGUGCACAUCUUGACGGUACCUAAUCAGAAAGCCACGGCUAACUACGUG
This 495-nucleotide ribosomal RNA is filed under the name uncultured bacterium. Its description in RNAcentral is "partial 16S ribosomal RNA". It matches the Rfam family "Bacterial small subunit ribosomal RNA", at positions 30 to 507 of the family's 1533-position model. The record is from RNAcentral.